Molecule: long non-coding RNA, 627 nt
Organism: Drosophila subpulchrella
Lineage: Eukaryota; Metazoa; Arthropoda; Insecta; Diptera; Drosophilidae
Exons: 4
Source: RefSeq, a predicted model, not a curated record
UAAUACUUUCUUCUCGGGUGAACGCAAUAUUUGCGAAAUAAAACGUCUCAGAGCUAUAAAGUCCAAUGCUUCUUAUUUUUUUAAACCUAGUUCACAGAAGGAAACCCUUCAGGGAAUAAUAAAUUAAAUCUAGUCAAAGACAGUACAGCUAAAUAGUUAUAUUUUUCAAAAUUCGAUUUCACAAUGUGCCAACGCAGAGACGAUAAUCCCGAGUGCUGCGCCAAGUUCUAUCCAAUAUGGUGUAUCGUAGUUGGUUUCAAAUUCUUUGUAUUGUCAAUGCAACAUUCAGCUUAUCAUAUAUUCUCGCUGGGAUAUUGAUGUUUUUUGGUAUAAAAUCGGAUAAGAGAACGAUGUUUAAGGCUGGAAAAAUCCUCAGUUAUUUUUUUGCUAUUUUGAAUUUCCCCAUAUGUACAUAUAUCCACAGUAUGGCUAUCAGACAACUGUGCCGUUAUGAUCGUGAACGCUGGGAAUAGCUAAUGGUCAAAACUCCCCGUUUUCAUCUGGAUUUAUAUCUUUGUAUUGCAUUGCUUGCAAGAGUGAGUUACCUGGAUGGAUCCAGGCUGUUCCAAAUAUACAUAUAUCAUUCGAUCAUUUUGGCAACCAAAAGGAAUACAACAUUUUCAACAA